This 800-nucleotide ribosomal RNA is filed under the name uncultured bacterium. Its description in RNAcentral is "bacterial SSU rRNA". It matches the Rfam family "Bacterial small subunit ribosomal RNA", at positions 8 to 785 of the family's 1533-position model. The record is from RNAcentral.
AGAGUUUGAUCCUGGCUCAGGAUGAACGCUAGCGACAGGCUUAACACAUGCAAGUCGAGGGGCAACGGGACGUAGCAAUACGUUGCCGGCGACCGGCGGAUGGGUGAGUAACGCGUAUGCAACCUACCCACGACAGGGGGAUAGCCCGUUGAAAGACGGAUUAAUACCCCAUAAAACAGGGGUUCCGCAUGGGACUAUUUGUUAAAGGGUUCUCCGCGAGGGGGACAUCGGUUGUGGAUGGGCAUGCGUUCCAUUAGGCAGUUGGUGAGGUAACGGCUCACCAAACCGACGAUGGAUAGGGGAACCGAGAGGUUGGUCCCCCACACUGGUACUGAGAUACGGACCAGACUCCUACGGGAGGCAGCAGUGAGGAAUUUUGGUCAAUGGACGGAAGUCUGAACCAGCCAAGUCGCGUGAAGGAAGGCGGCCCUAAGGGUUGUAAACUUCUUUUGUAAGGGAAUAAAGUGCGUUACGUGUAGUGCAUUGCAAGUACCUUACGAAUAAGGAUCGGCUAACUCCGUGCCAGCAGCCGCGGUAAUACGGAGGAUCCGAGCGUUAUCCGGAUUUAUUGGGUUUAAAGGGUGCGCAGGCGGGGGAUUAGGUCGGCGGUGAAAUAUCAGGGCUCAACCUUGAGAGUGCCGUCGAAACCGGUUUUCUUGAGUGCGGAUGAAGUAGGCGGAAUUUGUGGUGUAGCGGUGAAAUGCGUAGAUAUCACAAAGAACACCGAUUGCGGAGGCAGCUUACUAAACCGCAACUGACGCUCAUGCACGAAGGCGUGGGGAUCAAACAGGAUUAGAUAC